This 467-nucleotide ribosomal RNA is filed under the name uncultured bacterium. RNAcentral describes it as "partial 16S ribosomal RNA". It matches the Rfam family "Bacterial small subunit ribosomal RNA", at positions 29 to 507 of the family's 1533-position model. The record is from RNAcentral.
ACGAACGCUGGCGGCGUGCUUAACCCAUGCAAGUCGAACGGAAAGGCCCUGCUUUUGUGGGGUGCUCGAGUGGCGAACGGGUGAGUAACACGUGAGUAACCUGCCCUUGACUUUGGGAUAACUUCAGGAAACUGGGGCUAAUACCGGAUAGGAGCUCCUGCUGCAUGGUGGGGGUUGGAAAGUUUCGGCGGUUGGGGAUGGACUCGCGGCUUAUCAGCUUGUUGGUAGGGUAGUGGCUUACCAAGGCUUUGACGGGUAGCCGGCCUGAGAGGGUGACCGGCCACAUUGGGACUGAGAUACGGCCCAGACUCCUACGGGAGGCAGCAGUGGGGAAUAUUGCACAAUGGGCGGAAGCCUGAUGCAGCAACGCCGCGUGCGGGAUGACGGCCUUCGGGUUGUAAACCGCUUUCGCCUGUGACGAAGCGUGAGUGACGGUAAUGGGUAAAGAAGCACCGGCUAACUACGUG